GAGCGCAUCGUCCAAUGGCAGGACAGGGGUCUUUUAAGCCUUGAAUGCUAGUUCGAAUCUAGCUGUGCUCA
Molecule: non-coding RNA, 71 nt
Organism: Hemisphaericaspora subhashii
Lineage: Eukaryota; Fungi; Ascomycota; Pichiomycetes; Serinales; Debaryomycetaceae
Source: the annotation of a RefSeq genome assembly